RNAcentral lists this transfer RNA (69 nucleotides) under Aedes aegypti (yellow fever mosquito). It matches the Rfam family "tRNA". From Rfam's summary of the family: Transfer RNA (tRNA) molecules are approximately 80 nucleotides in length. Their secondary structure includes four short double-helical elements and three loops (D, anti-codon, and T loops). Lineage: Eukaryota; Metazoa; Arthropoda; Insecta; Diptera; Culicidae. The record is from Rfam by way of RNAcentral.
UGCUCGGUAGCUUAAUUGGUAAAGCACUCGUCUAUACAAGAGUCCUGGGUUCGAAUCCCAGCCAAGUUU